Molecule: unclassified non-coding RNA, 233 nt
Filed under: Hevea brasiliensis (rubber tree)
Lineage: Eukaryota; Viridiplantae; Streptophyta; Magnoliopsida; Malpighiales; Euphorbiaceae
Source: RNAcentral
GGGACGUCGACGUCGACGCUUCAUUGCCGGUGAGAUGACCUUUCAGCUUCUUCUUCAACAUUUGCUUAAACGAUUCUGAAUCUCCGCAUUUUCUUCGCACCUCCACCACCACCAAUCCAUCGGUUAAUCCGAAAAUUUCAAUUCCGACGACCAAAUUACGACUCUGCGCAUCCAAUUCAACUCCAAACUCUUUAUGUUUCUUCACCUUCAGAUUCUCAGCCCUAGCAAAUUCC